Molecule: long non-coding RNA, 328 nt
Filed under: Lupinus angustifolius (narrow-leaved blue lupine)
Lineage: Eukaryota; Viridiplantae; Streptophyta; Magnoliopsida; Fabales; Fabaceae
Description: long non-coding RNA (LANG_LNC002324)
Source: RNAcentral
UGGUACUCAACUGACAAGCUGGUUUCGUCACCUUCCACUAGUAGAAUAUUGGUAUAACACGAAUCGUCAUUCAGCCACAGGCAUGUCUCCUUUCGAAGCUUUGUAUGGACGACCUCCUCCUUCCCUCAAACAAUACUCGACCCACAUCUCCUCCACGAUGUCCAUGCCGAAUAACCUACAACAACGUGCACACAUGAUUACCGUGUUAAAACAACAUCUUACACGAGCUCAGCAAAGAAUGAUUGCACAAACUCAAACAGGACGAAGGGAUAUUACCUUUUCGGUGGGUGAUUGGGUACUUCUAAAGCUUCAGCCAUACCGCCAAGUG